AAUACAGUAUUUCUCUUAUGAAUAAGAUCUGUUAGUGCACCCUGCUUUAUUCCACAAACUUUCUCUUUGUCUUCAGCACUGUUGGUUUAUGUUCAGUCACAGUCCACUGAAACUCUGUUUGUCCAAAGUAUGUUGCAAAACCUAUGAAGUUAGAUUCAGCAGUCAUUUAUUAAAUACCUGUUCACUACUAGAUGUGUUCAUAAAAGUUUAAAUUUGUACAGUUUUAACAGGGCUAUGAACUGGGCAUUACUAAUCCAUUUUAUAAAAAGGAAACUCAAGGUUCCAUGUAUUGAAAUAACUUACUGAAGAUAAGGAUUCAUGAAGUGUAAAGCCAGGAUUCCAUCUUGGGUCUCCCAGAUUCAGAUUCACUGUUCUGUAUCUUUGCUGCCUCAGUAAACUAUUUCUGCUGUUUAUUAUAUUGAUAAAAUUGGAAAUGCAGAAAUUUACUAUUAAACUCUUUUGCACUCAGGAUGAUUUUAGAGCCUAGGAGAGAUACCUAGAAUUUUUUAUGUUUUUGUUAAGUGAAGUAAUGCCUUAUGUAAACUAGAUUAACUGAAAUUACAGCAGCAUUAAGAUAGAAAGUAGAUAUGCCCAAACAAAAAUGUUAAUGGAAUCAAAAUUGGAGUGACAAAUCAUUUACAAGGAGAUGAGGGGUGAAAACCAUUAGUGCAUAUAAAUUUGUAGCUUUUUUUAUUGUGUUUUAAAUUUUUAUUAAAUUUUUUACCUAAUAUGAAAACUAAGGUAUUUAAAGAUUUCUGUGUACUCAGAUUCAUCUUCAAGUUGAAGAUGAAUUCAUCUUCUUAAGCUAAACAUAUUUAUUGUCUAACCUUUCAAAAUGACUGUUUUUUUCUUAGAAGAUCAUAAAAAUGAAAAGUUGAUAUAUAUCAAAAACUAGUAAAGAUAAUUAAAAGCCUACAAGCCAGAAUAUAAACCACCACACUUGGAACUAAGACUUUGAUAAAGUCUUAACCUACUUGAUGAAGAGGUCUUUUGAAAGGUGUACUGCAAGGGAUGCAAUGCUCUCUGUAAAUUAACACGUUUAUGAAGAUCCUCCAGAUGUGAAGAAGGAACAUUUGGGGCUAUUAUAACUAAAUGAAAACUUUCUUGUUUUAAUCCUGAGAAUGAAUUAAAGAAAAAUUGAAAUAUUGGCAAAGUGAGAAACUAUAGAAAGACUGUUAAAUUGAAAUUUAUCAUAACAGCAUACAGCUUCUUUCCAGUCUCUUACUAAAGAAGAGGAAAUGGCCUGUCAGUACCUAAUGAAGCACACAUUUUAGGUAAUUCAGCAAAACUGGGAAGUUUUAUUUGUAUGAGUUAACACUUCCAUCCUUGUAUAAUUGUGAGCACAUAAAGUGCAAAUAGUAAAAUAAAAGUUAUACCUUUUAAUGACCUUAAUUUGGUUAUUUUACAAAGAAAAAUAACUAUGGGUGUGUAUUAAAUUCAUUUUUUCCAUCUUCUUUGGAAAAAAAUCCUCAUUUUUUUCAUUCAUUUUCUUUUAAGUUGAUGACAUAUAACUUCAAAAUUGAACAUCUAAAAUCUCUUACAUGGAAUAUGGGUUGAGUUUGGAACUAACUCAGAGGAUUCAGGCAAGUAUCCAGGAGGUAGCAAGAACAAUAUUUUAUUAGUUGAAUAAGUCAGUUUACAUUCCAUAUUUAAAUGUAGAUCUCUUAAGAUCACACAUAUGGAUAUGUGAUGGUAGGUGUGAAAAUUUGGCCUUAGACUAAAUUCUGUACUCAACUGCAAAGGUUUUCUUUAAUCAAUUGUAUAUCCUUUUGGUUAUUAUAGAAUUACAUGUUGUUUUUAAGCCACUAAGUAUCAUUAUGGAUACAUGCCCAGGUUAGCCAUAAUUGGAUUAGCAAGAUUAAACUUUCCUAAACUGUGAUCUCUAAGUUAAUAAUUUAUUUCAAAGUUGACAUUCUAAAUCAAUUUUUUUUCCUUUUGCAGGUGGAUAUUACUAUCCCUUAUUCAUCGAAAAAGUUUUAAUUAAUUCUAAGUGUAUUUUCUCAUUGAGUAUUAACAAAAUGGACAAAAAUUAGUGUCCCAAACUUUUGAGAUAGAUUUGGCUCUAGUAAGUAUUUAGACCUAUUAUUUGCAUAUCUAGGAGAAGAAAUGAGACCAUCAUCAUUUCCAGCCAAAAUUGUUUUUUCUUACCUCUGUAAAAGGAUUUCUUGCAAUUUAUGUUUUAUUACUAAUAACUUGAGCCCCUUUAAUGAAGAACUAACUCACCAGAAAUAUGAGAGUAUAUGUUCUUGCUUUGUUUGUUUAUAAAUAUAUCUCACAGAUUUCUGAUGUCUUUUUUUUUUGAGCUAUAUACAAUGAAGAAAAUGUUGACAAAAUAAACAAGUUUAAACUUUUUAUGUUAAAGUUACUGUUCAUGGUGACAAGUGAGUUCCUUUUUUUUUUUGUCUUCAUUAUUACUGAAAUUAAAUUCAACAUUUAUAAUUUUUAUUUGGGUCUAUUUCUUGAUUACUAAUACAUGGAAUUCAUUCAAAGUCUUUAUGAGUAAAAUACUUAAAUUAGCAUAUUAAUGAUUAUACGUCCCCUUUAAUUCUGUAGAACUUUGAAUAAUAUGAUAUUUAUUGUAUUCUUGUGAUUGAACUUUUGUGUUUUGAAGGAAUAUAAACUAUACCUGGAAAAUUGU
Long non-coding RNA from Lutra lutra (Eurasian river otter), 2638 nucleotides. RefSeq lists it as uncharacterized. NCBI's taxonomy places the organism in Eukaryota, Metazoa, Chordata, Mammalia, Carnivora, Mustelidae. The record is from RefSeq and is a predicted model, not a curated record. The transcript has 3 exons.